GAUGAACGCUGGCGGCGUGCCUAAUACAUGCAAGUCGAGCGAACAGACGAGGAGCUUGCUCCUCUGACGUUAGCGGCGGACGGGUGAGUAACACGUGGAUAACCUACCUAUAAGACUGGGAUAACUUCGGGAAACCGGAGCUAAUACCGGAUAAUAUAUUGAACCGCAUGGUUCAAUAGUGAAAGACGGUUUUGCUGUCACUUCUAGAUGGAUCCGCGCCGCAUUAGCUAGUUGGUAAGUUAACGGCUUACCAAGGCAACGAUGCGUAGCCGACCUGAGAGGGUGAUCGGUCAAACUGGAACUGAGACACGGUCCAGACUCCUACGGGAGGCAGCAGUAGGGAAUCUUCCGCAAUGGGCGAAAGCCUGACGGAGCAACGCCGCGUGAGUGAUGAAGGUCUUCGGAUCGUAAAACUCUGUUAUUAGGGAAGAACAAAUGUGUAAGUAACUAUGCACGUCUUGACGGUACCUAAGCAGAAAGCCACGGCUAACUACGU
This 496-nucleotide ribosomal RNA is filed under the name uncultured bacterium. RNAcentral describes it as "partial 16S ribosomal RNA". It matches the Rfam family "Bacterial small subunit ribosomal RNA", at positions 28 to 506 of the family's 1533-position model. The record is from RNAcentral.